This 301-nucleotide ribosomal RNA is filed under the name uncultured bacterium. RNAcentral's name for it is "partial 16S ribosomal RNA". It matches the Rfam family "Bacterial small subunit ribosomal RNA", at positions 509 to 807 of the family's 1533-position model. The record is from RNAcentral.
CAGUCGCCGCGGUAAAACGUAGGGUGCAAGCGUUAAUCGGAAUUACUGGGCGUAAAGCGUGCGCAGGCGGUUUGUUAAGACAGAUGUGAGAUCCCCGGGCUCAACCUGGGAACUGCAUUUGUGACUGGCAAGCUAGAGUCUGGCAGAGGGGGGUGGAAUUCCGCGUGUAGCAGUGAAAUGCGUAGAUAUGCGGAGGAACACCGAUGGCGAAGGCAGCCCCCUGGGCCAACACUGACGCUCAUGCACGAAAGCGUGGGGAGCAAACAGGAUUAGAUACCCCGGUAGUCCCUGUCUCUUAUAC